This is a long non-coding RNA of Magallana angulata, 586 nucleotides long. RefSeq lists it as uncharacterized. The record is from RefSeq and is a predicted model, not a curated record. Lineage: Eukaryota; Metazoa; Mollusca; Bivalvia; Ostreida; Ostreidae. The transcript has 3 exons.
AGAAAAUGAAUCAAUAAAUCAGCUUUGUUGACAAAGUUUCUAAGUAAGAGGUUAGGUGGAGGUUUAUCAGUGGUGCUUUCUUAUCAUGAGGGCCAAUCCUGACCUUUUCAAUCACAACCAAUUCAUGCCAUGAUCUCCAGGAAAUACAUAUAUUCACUGGAGUUCAAUGGAGUUUCCUUCCUAUACAAACUAGUGGAAUCUAGGUACUUAAAGGUUUUUAUUCCACAUAAGAAAAUUUAUUGUUCAAAAUAGAAGCAAAUCAGAUGAGACCAACAGGUCAAUAUGGAUGAUGGUGGCAGCAUGUCUUGCAGCAGGACCAAAAUCGGUGGAAGCCUCAGUUUUCCUGGCCAUUCCUUGACGGAACUGAGUUUUACCAUCAGUGGCAUCUCUGAGGAAAGACUUACUGCAGUUCUGUACAGAUAAAAACCAAUGCAAUCCUAAGUUUCCUUUUUCCCCCUUUUACAUUUGUGUUACGUGACAUAAAGUUUUGCUGACCUUGACAUGCACCCCUUUCUCUGCAGUCUCAUGGAGGUCAAGGUAGGCCCCUCCCCCACCAGGCACCUGUAGCAAGUCCUUCACCAGCUCG